Long non-coding RNA from Oxyura jamaicensis (ruddy duck), 460 nucleotides. RefSeq lists it as uncharacterized. The transcript has 3 exons. The record is from RefSeq and is a predicted model, not a curated record. Lineage: Eukaryota; Metazoa; Chordata; Aves; Anseriformes; Anatidae.
AAUAACCACUGGACUCCAGUUCUGCCAGAGAAUUGGCCUUAUCCCUGAACUCCAAAGACACAUGGAACUGCUAAAAUUCAGCCUGAAGGCAGAUGGGGCUUUGACAAGCUCUAAAAUUGUAAAACAUUUCAGUUGAGGCUGAAAGAGACCUUUAGUAGCACAGCACUUGGGACUGACAGAACUCUGCAACUGUUGCUCUUGUGCGCCAUCCAUCCCAGCCUUCGUGCAGUUACCUGAUUUGCCUUUCUUUCCAGGCUGAUUUUCUACAGCUGAAAAUGCGGAGAUGAAAAUCAAGAGAUUGCUUAGAAGACACCUUGCACCAAGCUCAGAUAAGUAUGUCUUCUGACUCAAGGCUUUGAGCAAUUGCAGUUGGGAAAGUGAAAAGAUUCCACUAGUUUCCACUGAUUGUUUUAAUGUGACUGCUAAAAUGUACAGCCAGAGAUCAAAGAAAAAAACUAAU